RNAcentral lists this unclassified non-coding RNA (237 nucleotides) under fungal sp. RNAcentral's name for it is "partial internal transcribed spacer region". Lineage: Eukaryota; Fungi. The record is from RNAcentral.
AAGUCGUAACAAGGUCUCCAUAGGUGAACCUGCGGCAUUCACAUGAUUAUAUCUUUGAAAACAAACUGUGAACUUUAAAAACUAUUCUACAUAACUGUUUUAGAUGAACAUUAGAUAGUUGUCUUAUUAUAUAUCUUUUAUAUAACUUUCUCACCUUUGAUCGUGAAUUCUAAACAAAUUAAUAAAAUCAAUCCAUAAACAUAGAAACAACUCUAUGCCCUGGAUAUCUUGGCUCUC